UACGUAGGGUGCAAGCGUUAAUCGGAAUUACUGGGCGUAAAGCGUGCGCAGGCGGUUAUUUAAGUCAGUAGUGAAAUCCCCGGGCUCAACCUGGGAAUGGCAUUUGAGGCUGCAUGGCUAGAGUGUGUCAGAGGGGGGUAGAAUUCCACGUGUAGCAGUGAAAUGCGUAGAUAUGUGGAGGAAUACCGAUGGCGAAGGCAGCCCCCUGGGAUAACACUGACGCUCAUGCACGAAGGCGUGGGGAGCAAACAGG
This 253-nucleotide ribosomal RNA is filed under the name uncultured bacterium. RNAcentral's name for it is "partial 16S ribosomal RNA". It matches the Rfam family "Bacterial small subunit ribosomal RNA", at positions 524 to 776 of the family's 1533-position model. The record is from RNAcentral.